Molecule: transfer RNA, 17 nt
Filed under: Hyloxalus subpunctatus (Bogota rocket frog)
Lineage: Eukaryota; Metazoa; Chordata; Amphibia; Anura; Dendrobatidae
Description: partial tRNA-Phe
Source: RNAcentral
AAAGUCCUUUAGACACA